GACGAACGCUGGCGGCGUGCUUAACACAUGCAAGUCGAACGGAAAGGCCCUGCUUUUGUGGGGUGCUCGAGUGGCGAACGGGUGAGUAACACGUGAGUAACCUGCCCUUGACUUUGGGAUAACUUCAGGAAACUGGGGCUCAUACCGGAUAGGAGCUCCUGCUGCAUGGUGGGGGUUGGAAAGUUUCGGCGGUUGGGGAUGGACUCGCGGCUUAUCAGCUUGUUGGUGGGGUAGUGGCUUACCAAGGCUUUGACGGGUAGCCGGCCUGAGAGGGUGACCGGCGACAUUGGGACUGAGAGACGGCCCAGACGCCUACGGGAGGCAACAGGGGGGAAUAUUGCACAAUGGGCGGAAGCCUGAUGCAGCAACGCCGCGUGCGGGAUGACGGCCUUCGGGGUGUAAACCGCUUUCGCCUGUGACGAAGCGUGAGUGACGGUAAUGGGUAAAGAAGCACCGGCUAACUACGUG
RNAcentral lists this ribosomal RNA (468 nucleotides) under uncultured bacterium. RNAcentral's name for it is "partial 16S ribosomal RNA". It matches the Rfam family "Bacterial small subunit ribosomal RNA", at positions 28 to 507 of the family's 1533-position model. The record is from RNAcentral.